Molecule: transfer RNA, 71 nt
Filed under: Loxodonta africana (African savanna elephant)
Lineage: Eukaryota; Metazoa; Chordata; Mammalia; Proboscidea; Elephantidae
Rfam family: tRNA
About the family: Transfer RNA (tRNA) molecules are approximately 80 nucleotides in length. Their secondary structure includes four short double-helical elements and three loops (D, anti-codon, and T loops). Further hydrogen bonds mediate the characteristic L-shaped molecular structure. tRNAs have two regions of fundamental functional importance: the anti-codon, which is responsible for specific mRNA codon recognition, and the 3' end, to which the tRNAs corresponding amino acid is attached (by aminoacyl-tRNA synthetases). tRNAs cope with the degeneracy of the genetic code in two manners: having more than one tRNA (with a specific anti-codon) for a particular amino acid; and 'wobble' base-pairing, i.e. permitting non-standard base-pairing at the 3rd anti-codon position.
Source: Rfam by way of RNAcentral
GCAAAGGUGGUUCAGUGAUAGAAUUCUCGUCUUCCAUGUGGGAGGCCCAGGUUUGAUUCCUGGCCAAUGCA